Molecule: unclassified non-coding RNA, 311 nt
Filed under: plant metagenome
Description: partial contains 5.8S ribosomal RNA, internal transcribed spacer 2, and large subunit ribosomal RNA
Rfam family: 5.8S ribosomal RNA (bases 1-106)
Source: RNAcentral
CGAAAUGCGAUAAGUAGUGUGAAUUGCAGAAUUCAGUGAAUCAUCGAAUCUUUGAACGCACAUUGCGCCCCUUGGUAUUCCAUGGGGCAUGCCUGUUCGAGCGUCAUUUGUACCCUCAAGCUCUGCUUGGUGUUGGGUGUUUGUCCCCGUCUCCGCGCGUGGACUCGCCCCAAAGUGAUUGGCAGCCGGCGUACUGGUCCCGGAGCGCAGCACAUGUCGCGCAAACGAGUGCCUUGGUACGGCGGCGUCCAUAAGCCCCUCUCUCACGCUCUUGACCUCGGAUCAGGUAGGGAUACCCGCUGAACUGAAGC